This 483-nucleotide ribosomal RNA is filed under the name uncultured bacterium. RNAcentral's name for it is "partial 16S ribosomal RNA". It matches the Rfam family "Bacterial small subunit ribosomal RNA", at positions 28 to 507 of the family's 1533-position model. The record is from RNAcentral.
GACGAACGCUGGCGGCGUGCCUAACACAUGCAAGUCGAGCGGGGAUUUAAGUGGAAGUUCUUCGGAAUGGAGAUUUAAAUUCUAGCGGCGGACGGGUGAGUAGCGCGUGAACAAUCUGUCCCGGACAGGGGGAUAACACUUGGAAACAGGUGCUAAUACCGCAUAAGACCACGGCCUCGCAUGGGGCUGAGGUAAAAGGAGCAAUCCGGUUCGGGGUGAGUUCGCGUCCGAUUAGCUAGUUGGUGAGGUAACGGCCCACCAAGGCGACGAUCGGUAGCCGGCCUGAGCGGGUGAACGGCCACAUUGGAACUGAGAGACGGUACAAACUCCUACGGGAGGCAGCAGUGGGGAAUAUUGGGCAAUGGGCGAAAGCCUGACCCAGCAACGCCGCGUGAGGGAAGAAGGUUUUCGGAUUGUAAACCUCUGUCCUAUGGGACGAAGGAAGUGACGGUACCAAAGGAGGAAGCCCCGGCUAACUACGUG